RNAcentral lists this ribosomal RNA (253 nucleotides) under uncultured bacterium. RNAcentral describes it as "partial 16S ribosomal RNA". It matches the Rfam family "Bacterial small subunit ribosomal RNA", at positions 524 to 776 of the family's 1533-position model. The record is from RNAcentral.
UACGAAGGGGACUAGCGUUGUUCGGAUUUACUGGGCGUAAAGCGCGCGUAGGCGGAUCGCUAAGUCAGGGGUGAAAUCCUGGAGCUCAACUCCAGAACUGCCUUUGAUACUGAGGAUCUUGAGUUCGGGAGAGGUGAGUGGAACUGCGAGUGUAGAGGUGAAAUUCGUAGAUAUUCGCAAGAACACCAGUGGCGAAGGCGGCUCACUGGCCCGAUACUGACGCUGAGGCACGAAAGCGUGGGGAGCAAACAGG